GUCUCCGUCGUUUAGCUGAGGGCUGGAUUUGCUGCUGGUCUAAAAUCCCAAGUUGACCAACUCGUUGCCGUGGAAAUGGAAAUCGAAUUGUCUGUUCAGAUUUUUUAAGCUGAGUAACAGGCAAUUGCUGUAGAGUUUCUCGCUCGGUAUCCCAGUGCUGAUCUGGCCACUUCUGUGUCAUGUUGGUUUCAGACCGAAUUUGCUGCUGCUCAGUUGUUCGCUCGAUGAUCACUUGCUGCCUUCGUUGUUGACGUCGUGGCAGGGGCGAUCGAAUUGGAUUUGUAGCUAACUAAUUAGCUGUCCGCGUUGUUGUUGAUGUAGCU
Long non-coding RNA from Drosophila novamexicana, 323 nucleotides. RefSeq lists it as uncharacterized. The transcript has 3 exons. NCBI's taxonomy places the organism in Eukaryota, Metazoa, Arthropoda, Insecta, Diptera, Drosophilidae. The record is from RefSeq and is a predicted model, not a curated record.